RNAcentral lists this long non-coding RNA (1393 nucleotides) under Mus spicilegus (steppe mouse). RNAcentral describes it as "lncRNA (ENSMSIG00000025087.1)". Lineage: Eukaryota; Metazoa; Chordata; Mammalia; Rodentia; Muridae. The record is from RNAcentral.
GCUGGAACCCGGGAUCUGACACAUGAUAGAUUACUGCUCUACCACAAAGCUAUACUCUUAGAAAAUGGUUUACUGAUUCACAAAGCUUCCAUCCUUGGCUGACUUCAGAACUGUCCUAGGUGUUUUCACAAACAGAUUAUCCCAGUUGAUGCUGGUGUCAUUAUUUCAGCUUCCCUCCUAGGCAGCACAGAUGUUUCAUGUCAUUGUCACUGAAAGUGCAGAAGAUAUUGAUGGACCUUGUGCCUUCUUGUCUGGGUUCCUCCUAUGUCUCUUCCACUGACCCUGAUGACCGCUGUUCUAAGUGCCUCUCAAAACUCAAGUGAGGCACUGCAACAUUCCCAGGAGAGAUGCAGUCCAUGUGGAGAUGCAAUGAACUUGUGCUGCAGAGCUGCUGGGAUGGAAUACUCAACAUUUGGAUUUUGGGUUUUGAAGAUUAUUCAUUUCCUUACAGUUCUGUAAUUUUUACUCACCAAUGAAGAAAAACAAAAUGAUGACAUUUGCAGGAGGAAGAUCUCACUACCAAGAGUUCUGCAAAGCAUGCAGGGAGAACAAAAAAGGCAGCUAGAUUAACUCGCCAAGAUCCCUGGACCCAAAGUCGUCACUUCUCACUGCCUCUCUGUAGAGAGAGGGUUGCUUCUGACAGCCCACCCACGCACAACAAAAUGUCUCAUUGCUCUGUGGGCUCCGUGCAUUGGCAUCACAUCCCCUCAUGCCUGGAAUCUGAACCACCGCCAGGACAUUCCUGAGUGACAGCUCCCAUGAACUAAUUAUUAAUGUUCUUGGCACUGAGGCUGGGUGGGCAUUUAUUCCCCUUACCCAGGGCUGGUGAUAGAUGGGGAUUUGCACAGGCUGCAUAAUUUCUUCAUGUCUCCAUAAGUCUCUGCCUUCUGCUGGCAUUUUAAGGAAUGUAUUUUUACAGAAGUUGGCACUAUUCAGUAAUUUUCCAGGAGGGCACAUUGCCCAGGCCAGAUGGACAUAUUUUUUUUCUGGUUCCAGCUGGUAAGUCCUGUUUGAUAAGAUUCUAUCCCAUCCUACUUGAACAAGGAUGCACAAUUUGCUUGCAAGUUGGGUAGUGAAAAAUGACCCUAGUGGCAGGUUGUGACAGAGGGCUGAGGUGGGAGGGCCACCCUGGGAACUACAACUAUUGCCAGAGUCAGAAGCUCCACAAUCACAAACCUGAUGAGUGCCAAGGAAGGGCAUUUCUGUUUGAGCAUACAUUGUGGGGCAGGCUGUCUUGAAGCCCUAAAGAGUUUCUCGUUUAUAGCAUUGAUAUCUCUGUUCCUCUCUGAAUCUUUCCAUGGUUAGACAGAGAAUCCUGGCAUGGUCAAGACAUCACUACAGUGUCCAAUUUUACUGCAAUAUGGGAUCCUUUGCUAUCUGUCAUACAGAGCAG